CCUCUACAAGAUGAAGAAGUCCAGCCCUACCUCUUCACCAGCCUUGAUACCGACUACGACCCCAUUGUGACGUCGCUCACAACACGGUUUGAUCCACUCACCCUCGACGACAUCUAUGCGCAUCUGCUCACGUUCGAGA
Molecule: small nucleolar RNA, 139 nt
Organism: Phragmites australis (common reed)
Lineage: Eukaryota; Viridiplantae; Streptophyta; Magnoliopsida; Poales; Poaceae
Product: small nucleolar RNA Z247
Exons: 1
Source: RefSeq, a predicted model, not a curated record